GACGAACGCUGGCGGCGUGCCUAAUACAUGCAAGUAGGACGCACAGUUUAUACCGUAGCUUGCUACACCAUAGACUGUGAGUUGCGAACGGGUGAGUAACGCGUAGGUAACCUGCCUAUUAGAGGGGGAUAACUAUUGGAAACGAUAGCUAAUACCGCAUAACAGUAUGUAACACAUGUUAGAUGCUUGAAAGAUGCAAUUGCAUCGCUAGUAGAUGGACCUGCGUUGUAUUAGCUAGUAGGUAGGGUAAUGGCCUACCUAGGCAACGAUACAUAGCCGACCUGAGAGGGUGAUCGGCCACACUGGGACUGAGACACGGCCCAGACUCCUACGGGAGGCAGCAGUAGGGAAUCUUCGGCAAUGGGGGGAACCCUGACCGAGCAACGCCGCGUGAGUGAAGAAGGUUUUCGGAUCGUAAAGCUCUGUUGUUAAGGAAGAACGAGUGUGAGAAUGGAAAGUUC
Molecule: ribosomal RNA, 461 nt
Filed under: Streptococcus anginosus
Lineage: Bacteria; Bacillati; Bacillota; Bacilli; Lactobacillales; Streptococcaceae
Description: bacterial SSU rRNA
Rfam family: Bacterial small subunit ribosomal RNA
Source: RNAcentral